RNAcentral lists this unclassified non-coding RNA (6160 nucleotides) under Leishmania donovani. RNAcentral's name for it is "gene:LdHU3.14.1910(CDS-product:hypothetical_prote in_conserved)". Lineage: Eukaryota; Euglenozoa; Kinetoplastea; Trypanosomatida; Trypanosomatidae. The record is from RNAcentral.
AAACUCUGGGCCACCUUCAGUGGCUCCGUCAUCCACGCACGCAUACGCACGUCAGGAACGACCCCCGUUAUUUUGCUUGGGGAUUAUUUUGGCAUGUGUAGGGCGAGGGGAGAAAGGUGGAGCUGCAGGUUCUCUAGCGGAGAACACAUAAAGCUUUCAGGCUAGCCUCAUCACAUCUUUCCGCCUCGGUUCACCGCCUGCGCUAUCCCUGCCAACAAUGACCUCGCCUACGGCCGCGGGUGCUGAAAACCGGCCAAAGCCGUUGCACACGUAUCCGGAAGAUGUGCCACCCAGCAGCAAGAUCCUCGCACACUGCGGCUUUGACAGUCGUCACUUCAACGCUGUUGCCUACCUCGGUGACAACACCCUGCUCACUAGUGGUGGCAAAUUCGUGCUCUUCGUUCACGUCGACACCGGCGCAGUGGAGUCGCAAGACGGACCCCAGGAUGGGGCUGUUGGCGCUGUCGCUGUACACCCCGGCGGUACGUCGUACGUAGUGGGUGAGCGCUGCCCUGUAAAUCCGCUUCUCCGCGCGUACGGCUGGCCCUCUCGCGCCCAAUCUAAAACCUUUGCAGGUGGCGCAGAGGUGGGGUACAGCGCGCUCGCCUUCAACGUGGGCGGCAGCCGCCUCGCUUCCGUCGCAAGUGCACCCGACUACACCCUUGCCAUCUGGGACUGGGAGAACACCUCGCUACUGUUGCGGAGCAAGUGCUUCAACUCCGACGUGUACAGCGUCGCCUUUAGUCGCUUCGAUGACGCGCUCCUCGUUACGGGCGGGGCCGGGCACAUCAAAUUCUGGAUGAUGGCGGACACCUUCACCGGGAAGAAGCUGCAGGGCUCGCUCGGUAAGUUUGGCCGUCACGAGAUAUCCGACGUCGCCGCGUUUGUGAUCUUGGCGGACGGCAAGGUGCUCUCCGGGUCCGACUGCGGCGACCUUCUCUUGUGGGAGGGAGACCUCAUCGCCUGCACGUUUGCCCGCGCCUUUGCCGUCGAUGAGCCCGGCGCCAAAGGAUUGGGACAGGCACCUCACGAUAUUGAGCCAUGCCACGACGGCGCCAUCCACUUUGUCUCUCUGCAGGGCCGCUACGUGGUAACGGCCGGCGACGACGGAUACAUGCGGUACUGGGAUCUUCAUGAGCUGGAGGUGGCAGAGGGCACCGGACUGCCGCCGUACUACGCGCCGAACUGCCUUCACGAAGUGUGCGUGUCGGCCGCGUUUCGCAUCCGCUCCGUCACGCUCGAUGAAGAGCACCAGCAGUGGGUCAUCCUCGACGAGUCUGGCACCAUGGCCACACUGCCCUACCCCCUGCGUAACGGCAAACUAGACACGACAGAGCGAGCGGGGCAGGUGCGACUUCGGCUGAACGGUGUUCCGCUCACAUGCGCGGCGGUGUCUCCCGUCGAACAUGUCGUCCUCACCGGCGGCAUGGACGGCGUUGUGCGCUGCAUCGACUAUGUGUGCUGCGCAGAGCGGUGCCGCAUGGAGUGGCCGCGCCAUCCGCGCAAGGACCCGGUGCCGGUGGCAGACAUAAAGGUGCUAGCGCCACGCUCGACGGCACAAAGCAUGCUCGCGGUGGCUGGUUUUAGCGACGGCACGGUGCGGCUACUGGAAAUCGGUGAAGGUAGCUGCAGCAUUCGAGUGGUUGGGCAGUGGAAGGCGCACGCGGAUGGGCUGUGCGCGCUGGCCGUGAACGAGGACGCGUCCCAGGUGGCCAGCAUCUCCCCCAGCGGGCACGUUUUCUUCUUCAGCGUGGAAACGGCACCCUGCACGCUCGACCCUGUGGGCUAUUGCGUCGGACCAUUGAAGAACCCCACGAGCGCGGCAUGGGACACGCAGGCUGUAGGCGGCCACGGUGGUUGCCUGCUGGGCUUCGAGGGUGGCCAGCUACUCUCGAUCCACGCCCCAGCACCAGGCUCCGUGGACCACAACGAGGGGUACGAGUUUCCGUGUGCAUAUGACCUGGUGGCGAUCCGCCAGCGGCAACUGCCACCGCCAAAGACGGAAGUUGAGGAGCUCGAGUUGGUGGACGACACCGCUGCGACCGCACUGGACGAGGAGGAUGUGGGGCCAUGGCCGAUCGCCUUCGUCGUGCAAUUCCCAGGGGAUGGUUUUGCGAUCGGCAUGGGUAAGGAGGAGCUGGCGUACAUGUACCAGGGAACCAUCCGCUACGCGAACCGGUUGGAGCUGCCGCCCCUGCCCCCCACCGGCGUGGAGCCGCCAGACUACGUCGAGGACCCGGCGCUGAACGUGUGCUACCGAGGCUGCGUGCCGCGUCGGGCUUUCGUCAGCCCCAACGGCGCUCUUGUCGUGUGUGCAGACCGCAACCGACUACUGCUGCGGGAGGCUACAAGUCGUUCGCAGGUGUUUCUGCUCGGCGCGGCGCACGACAGCACGGGUGGCGCCGUCACCGGCGCCUUUCUCUCUCAUAACGGCAGCAUGGUUGUCUCUAUCGGCACCGACGGCCUUGUCGUGACACAGCUGCGAGACGGCUACGCAGCCCCGCGUCCUUUGCCGCUUCUUAUCGGCAACGCUCCAGCCGUCGAAGAUGCCCUCGACAUGGUUUCUUCGGCGGCAGCCGCCCCCGCGGUUGUUGCGGUGGCCGAAGAGGUCGUGGGGGCUGCCGACGCACCCGCUUUGUCGGUGCAGGAGCAGAAAGAGGCGGACGACGCAGCUCGGGCCGCGGCAGAGAGGGAGGCGAAGCUGCAGCGCUUCUUGAAUAGGCUGGAGAAGGUGCGCGACGCGUACGCUGAGCUGGUGCACCGCAACGAACAGUUGCCGCCUGGCCAGCGACUGAGCAGGGACGAAAUGCAACUCGAUGCGUCGCUCCAGGACGCCCUCGACGCGGAGAAGCAGCGCCGAGUGCGAGAGGCUGAAAAGGAGUAUAUCCUGCCCACCGCCCGCGAAGAUGUCAAGACGGCCAAGCUGAAGAACUGCUUCCUCGACAAUCUGCUCUACGACCGUUUUGAACUAGCGGCCAUCGAAGGGGGCUUCUCCGUCGCCUCCUUGCGCCUCUUCGACCCACACGAAUCCAUCGCCAAACUGGACGCGGCUGCUCGCCAGCUAGCCGAGUCGGACGGGGAGUCGGACGUAGAGAAGGAAGAGGACGGGGCAAGUGACAGCGAGCAGGAUGGCGCCGGUGCAGAUGCAGCAGCGACAGAGCCCAUAGUCGCGGAAGACUCUCAGGCAGCCGGCGUCGACGCCGCCGCCGCCCACGAGCGGCCUGACGAUCUGGUUGGAAUAGCCACCAUCGGCGCCUCCGUGAAGCAGCAGCUCGACAAAAUGGUUACACGCCGUCGCGAGCGGCAAGAGCGGCGGGACGGCUAUGCGCGUUUGUUGGACCGCAAGCCGAACCCAGCAAUCGACGACGCAGCGCUGAAGCAGCAGAUCGCCAUGGACCUAAAGAACCGAGGUGACUGCACGUUUCGCACAGAUGCAGCGUACCGAGGCGAGCACCCGUACCGCCCCACCGCAGUCGCCAAGCUGCAGCGCAUGAUCCACCUGAUGGAGGACAUUGUGCGCAUGAAGACCUCCUUCAACGAAGACUUGCUCAAGCUGCGCGAGGAGAAGCGGCACGCCUUCUCCCGUCUCAACUGUAUGCGCCAGGACUACGGAAAGGUGCUGUUCCAGCUGGGAUUGUGCGCCUCGCCUGAAAUGCCUGAACUAUCCCUCACUGUUGAGGAGGAGCCCGAGACGCUGUACACGAUGGACCGCGACAAGCUCGAGGCGUACAACAAACAGAAAGCGGAGGAGCGGGCCAAAGCGGAGGCGAUGAAGGCGCAUCGUGGUUUUGGCGCGGACCUGGCCGGCGCGCAAGCGCCCGAGCGCUCGCGGGACUCCUCUACCGUGGCCAUCGGUGCCGGGCCUGGGACUAUGAUCACGCCGCAAAAGCGCUCCAAGGGCAGCCACUUCCCCUCCUACCUCGGACGAGGCUCACGGCUGAGCGCCAUCGGCAGCCUGGCGAUGCGGGAGCGCAUGGACGCCGAUCUGAGGGGCAAGCUCCACAAUGUAACCCUCACGCCAGAAGAGAAGGAGGAGCGGGAGAUGCAGCGCGCCGUGUUGGAGCGGGACAUGCGGCGCUUGAAAGACGCCAUGGCGGCGGUGCGGGCGGAGUUCAAUGACAAGCUGGAGUCACUGCGGCUGCGUCGCGCGGCGCUCGACGUCGAUCUGUGCCUUAUGACGAGGUGCCUGACCCUCUUCCACCGCGAGUAUCAGCUGCUGCUGAUCUUUCGCUCGCAGGACAAGAAACUCCGCGCUGUCUUGACGGCGGUGAAGCAGGAGCGGGAGUCGGUGCAGCGCGCCAUUGCAUCUCAGCACACAGACCUAGCGUCUAGCGAGGAGCGCAUUCGCCACCUCACCGCGCAGCUCAAAUCCACAAAUCAGGCAGCAGAGGCGUACAUCGACGAUCAUUGCCCAAGCGACAAGCUGACGUACAUUAAGCGAGUCUACUAUCGGCAGCUGAAGCGCCGGCGCCGUCCGGAGGAUGGGGACGACGACGAUGACGACAUCACCAGCGAUGACGACGAGGACGAGGACGACGGUAUCGGCGAGGAGGUUCGGCCGCCCAACUGCAGCGUGGAGGCGUGGGAGGGCAUGCUGAAGUGUCGUGAAUCUCGCCUCGACCUGACGGAAGCCAGUGACGCGGCUAAAGCAGAGGUGGCGAGCAUCCGCAAGCAGCUGGAGAAGAGCGAGCAGCGGCUGCAGGAGCUGGCGGAGCAUGUCAAGCAGUGCCGAGCCGAGGUGCAGGUGCUCGAGGAAAAGAAGCGGAAGGAGUUGAACAUGCUGUAUACAGCGGUGCCACUCCGCCUGAGUCAGGUGCGGUGCCUUGAAGCCGAUGCGCGGCUACCGUCCCACCUCCCCGAUCAGCCGGUAGUUGUCAUCUCCGCGGAGCAGAUGAGCGCGCUGCGACAGCGCAUCUUUGACUUGGCUGACCAGAAGAUAGAGCGCCGUGACGAGGUGGCGAGACUGACGGCGGAGCUGCAGCCGCUCAAGGAGGCGCGUGCGGCCUCGAAUCGCGUGUUCGAAGAAUGGCAAGACAAGGUGAACGAGGUGAUGCUACUUCGCUUUGGCCAGCACGUUGACUUAGAGAUGCUGGAGUCGUGCGGGUCCAGCUGGGCAAUAGAAGCGAAAAAGGAAGAGCUGCACCACCUUGAAUUGAAGUGGGCACGAUCGGUGAAGAAGGUUGAAAACCACAUUGCCGAACUCCGCACGCGCCUCCAAGACAAAGUCUUUGCAAACACGAGCCUGCUGCAGAACCUCGGCGAUCUCGAAACGGAGCGUCAGCGCGUAGAUUCUGUGUUGUCUCAAGCCACUUCCAAGACGGUGCAGCAGUACUGCGGCACGACGGUCGCAUCGAAGCAAGAGCGUGCCGUGCUGCGCGAGCUCAUUGCCGCACAGCAGGAGGAGAUAGACGCGCUCACGGCCGAGAUCCUCAUGCUGAAGCGCAAGGGCGGACACGUCUAUAGUCAAGCCAUGAUGUAGGCUCGGUGCAGCAGCGUUUUCGGUUUCCAUGCCGCAAGAUACGCCGACACUAUUCUCCCUCGCUCUUUGCGGCUGCUCGUGGCCAGCGCUUCUCUCUGCACAUUCCAGCCGCCACAGCAGCCCUUUUGAACGACGGCUCUUUGCCACUCUUGCGUCCUUCCCUUAUUUUCUCUCACGUAGCGUUUCCCCUACUCCUACGCUUUCACUUGUUUAAAGGGGUGAAGAUGGACUAGCGGUGCCGUUCUAGCGAGGACGUACGAAACGUCGAGAAGCCGCAAGCGAUUGUCUGCGUCAUGUACUGGCCCCCGCCACCUAGCCUACCCUUUCCCUCCCCGGUCAUGUUCUAUGUGAGUGCCGUCAUAUGUGUUUGCCGCGAACUAUGCACUCGAUGUACCCAUGUAUAGAGCCCGAUCUUUUUUUUCUCAUGAGAAGAGAUGGCAGUCGGCAUGCGCUUGUGCAUCUCUGUGGUGUGCGCUGUUUUCCGAAUGACGUCGCCAGAGUGCGGGGCACUCCGCUAUACUGCGAAAGUGGCGCGCCCGAGCGGCGAAGCACCGACUCACGGCCUCUUCGACUCUCUCUCCACUUUUGUGUAAACAAAGAAAGACGCUUAGCCCGUUGUCCCUUGUAUGCGUUUUCACUCACUUCACUUGUUGCUACCCGUGAGGGUCAGAGCCAAGCGCC